Odontomachus brunneus is the source of this 682-nucleotide long non-coding RNA. RefSeq lists it as uncharacterized. The transcript has 3 exons. Lineage: Eukaryota; Metazoa; Arthropoda; Insecta; Hymenoptera; Formicidae. The record is from RefSeq and is a predicted model, not a curated record.
UGCGACCGCCGUUACACGGCCACCUCUCGAUCUAUCUCGUUGACUCCGCGACAAUUCGUCACUUUCUGUCCUUCGCUAAAUGAAGCUGUAGACGAGCGGACACGACGAUCAUUAUCCUCGCGACGGGAAAGAGGGGGAGCGUGCCGCUUAACCUCGCGCGCGCGACGGGGGCGCCUUCUUCCCGCGCAAGAGAGGAUUUCGAGCCUUUGUUGAAGGCCGGCUCUCGCACAGUAGCCCGCGCGCGAGAAUGUACGCGAGCAACAAGAGCAAGUCAGGUCUGAACGGUCCAGAACAAAAGAUCGUCAUAAUAAUGUCAAGAUAACGAGAGAAUGACCAAAAAAUGUUCUCUUCAAUCAUGAGUCAAUCAGAUCUCGCUUCUCGUCCUUCCCUAGACAUGCGACACGUGCGUCUCUCCCUUCCAGACUGGAAAUGAGGAACGCCGAGAGCAAGGCUCGUUUCGCCUUCGCGCUUCGGACGAAGUAGAGAACACGACUGUGCGUAGAUUAAAAAAAAAUUAAUUGGAAAGAUCAAGGUAUGUGCUUCAUGAGGGUAGAAAAUAUUUGACCGUUUUUCAAUGUCGCCAAGUACAAACGACAACAAUUUGUUUUUCUAUCAAGCUUACAAUAGAACUACUCUGGAGCAUUAAAUAAAUAUAUUAAAAAUUCUAUAAUGACAUCAAUAA